This 468-nucleotide ribosomal RNA is filed under the name uncultured bacterium. RNAcentral describes it as "partial 16S ribosomal RNA". It matches the Rfam family "Bacterial small subunit ribosomal RNA", at positions 28 to 507 of the family's 1533-position model. The record is from RNAcentral.
GACGAACGCUGGCGGCGUGCUUAACACAUGCAAGUCGAACGGAAAGGCCCUGCUUUUGUGGGGUGCUCGAGUGGCGAACGGGUGAGUAACACGUGAGUAACCUGCCCUUGACUUUGGGAUAACUUCAGGAAACUGGGGCUAAUACCGGAUAGGAGCUCCUGCUGCAUGGUGGGGGUUGGAAAGUUUCGGCGGUUGGGGAUGGACUCGCGGCUUAUCAGCUUGUUGGUGGGGUAGUGGCUUACCAAGGCUUUGACGGGUAGCCGGCCUGAGAGGGUGACCGGCCACAUUGGGACUGAGAUACGGCCCAGACUCCUACGGGAGGCAGCAGUGGGGAAUAUUGCACAAUGGGCGGAAGCCUGAUGCAGCAACGCCGCGUGCGGGAUGACGGCCUUCGGGUUGUAAACCGCUUGCGCCUGUGACGAAGCGUGAGUGACGGUAAUGGGUAGAGAAGCACCGGCUAACUACGUG